RNAcentral lists this ribosomal RNA (2162 nucleotides) under Enterococcus faecalis. RNAcentral describes it as "partial 23S ribosomal RNA". It matches the Rfam family "Bacterial large subunit ribosomal RNA", at positions 1 to 2167 of the family's 2925-position model. The record is from RNAcentral. Lineage: Bacteria; Bacillati; Bacillota; Bacilli; Lactobacillales; Enterococcaceae.
GUUGAUAAGGUUAAGUGAAUAAGGGCGCACGGUGGAUGCCUUGGCACUAGGAGCCGAUGAAGGACGGGACUAACACCGAUAUGCUUUGGGGAGCUGUAAGUAAGCUAUGAUCCAGAGAUUUCCGAAUGGGGGAACCCAAUAUCUUUUAUAGGAUAUUACUUUUCAGUGAAUACAUAGCUGAUUAGAGGUAGACGCAGAGAACUGAAACAUCUUAGUACCUGCAGGAAGAGAAAGAAAAUUCGAUUCCCUGAGUAGCGGCGAGCGAAACGGGAAGAGCCCAAACCAACAAGCUUGCUUGUUGGGGUUGUAGGACUCCGAUAUGGUAGUCUGUUAGUAUAGUUGAAGGAUUUGGAAAAUUCCGCUAAAGAGGGUGAAAGCCCCGUAGACGAAAUGCUGACAACACCUAGGAGGAUCCUGAGUACGGCGGAACACGAGAAAUUCCGUCGGAAUCCGCGGGGACCAUCCCGCAAGGCUAAAUACUCCCUAGUGACCGAUAGUGAACCAGUACCGUGAGGGAAAGGUGAAAAGCACCCCGGAAGGGGAGUGAAAUAGAUCCUGAAACCGUGUGCCUACAACAAGUCAAAGCUCGUUAAUGAGUGAUGGCGUGCCUUUUGUAGAAUGAACCGGCGAGUUACGAUUGCAUGCGAGGUUAAGUCGAAGAGACGGAGCCGCAGCGAAAGCGAGUCUGAAUAGGGCGAAUGAGUAUGUAGUCGUAGACCCGAAACCAUGUGAUCUACCCAUGUCCAGGUUGAAGGUGCGGUAAAACGCACUGGAGGACCGAACCCACGUACGUUGAAAAGUGCGGGGAUGAGGUGUGGGUAGCGGAGAAAUUCCAAACGAACUUGGAGAUAGCUGGUUCUCUCCGAAAUAGCUUUAGGGCUAGCCUCGGAAUUGAGAAUGAUGGAGGUAGAGCACUGUUUGGACUAGGGGCCCAUCUCGGGUUACCGAAUUCAGAUAAACUCCGAAUGCCAUUCAUUUAUAUCCGGGAGUCAGACUGCGAGUGAUAAGAUCCGUAGUCGAAAGGGAAACAGCCCAGACCACCAGCUAAGGUCCCAAAAUAUAUGUUAAGUGGAAAAGGAUGUGGGGUUGCACAGACAACUAGGAUGUUGGCUUAGAAGCAGCCACCAUUUAAAGAGUGCGUAAUAGCUCACUAGUCGAGUGACCCUGCGCCGAAAAUGUACCGGGGCUAAACAUAUUACCGAAGCUGUGGACUACACCAUUAGGUGUAGUGGUAGGAGAGCGUUCUAAGGGCGUUGAAGGUCGAUCGUGAGGACGGCUGGAGCGCUUAGAAGUGAGAAUGCCGGUAUGAGUAGCGAAAGACAGGUGAGAAUCCUGUCCACCGUAUGACUAAGGUUUCCUGGGGAAGGCUCGUCCGCCCAGGGUUAGUCGGGACCUAAGCCGAGGCCGAUAGGCGUAGGCGAUGGACAACAGGUUGAUAUUCCUGUACCAGUUGUUUUUGUUUGAGCAAUGGAGGGACGCAGUAGGCUAAGGAAUGCAUGCGAUUGGAAGUGCAUGUCCAAGCAAUGAGUCUUGAGUAGAGUUAAAUGCUUUACUCUUUAAGGACAAGUUGUGACGGGGAGCGAAAUAAUAGUAGCGAAGUUCCUGAUGUCACACUGCCAAGAAAAGCUUCUAGUGAGAAAACAACUGCCCGUACCGUAAACCGACACAGGUAGUCGAGGAGAGUAUCCUAAGGUGAGCGAGCGAACUCUCGUUAAGGAACUCGGCAAAAUGACCCCGUAACUUCGGGAGAAGGGGUGCUGACUUCGGUCAGCCGCAGUGAAUAGGCCCAAGCGACUGUUUAUCAAAAACACAGGUCUCUGCAAAAUCGUAAGAUGAAGUAUAGGGGCUGACGCCUGCCCGGUGCUGGAAGGUUAAGAGGAUGGGUUAGCUUCGGCGAAGCUCAGAAUUGAAGCCCCAGUAAACGGCGGCCGUAACUAUAACGGUCCUAAGGUAGCGAAAUUCCUUGUCGGGUAAGUUCCGACCCGCACGAAAGGCGUAACGAUUUGGGCACUGUCUCAACGAGAGACUCGGUGAAAUUUUAGUACCUGUGAAGAUGCAGGUUACCCGCGACAGGACGGAAAGACCCCAUGGAGCUUUACUGUAGUUUGAUAUUGAGUGUUUGUACCACAUGUACAGGAUAGGUAGGAGCCGAUGAGACCGGA